RNAcentral lists this ribosomal RNA (433 nucleotides) under uncultured bacterium. RNAcentral's name for it is "partial 16S ribosomal RNA". It matches the Rfam family "Bacterial small subunit ribosomal RNA", at positions 29 to 507 of the family's 1533-position model. The record is from RNAcentral.
AACGAACGCUGGCGGCAUGCCUAACACAUGCAAGUCGAACGAGACCUCCGCGUUCAGUGGCGCACGGGUGGGUAACGGGUGGGAACAUGCCCUUAGGAUCUGAAUAACUCUCUGAAAGGGGUUCUAAUACCGGAUAAUGUUUCCGGACCAAAGAUUCUUCGGCUUGGGGUGGGCCGGCGUUGUUUUAGCGAGUUGGUAGGGUAUACGACUACCAAGCCGAGGAGCCAUAGCUGGUCUGAGAGGGUGAUCAGCCACACUGGGACUGAGACACGGCCCAGACUCCUAGGAGAAGUGGCGAUGGUGGAUAUUGGAGAGUGGGCGAAAGCCUGAUCCGGCAAGGCCGGGAGAGUGGUGAAGGCGUUAGAGUUGGAAUGCGCUUUUGCCCAGGAUGUGAAUGACGGUAGCGGGUAAAUAAGCUCCGGCUAACUCCGUG